Molecule: ribosomal RNA, 424 nt
Filed under: uncultured bacterium
Lineage: Bacteria
Description: partial 16S ribosomal RNA
Rfam family: Bacterial small subunit ribosomal RNA
Source: RNAcentral
AAUUUUGGACAAUGUUGGAAACCGUGAUCCAGCCAUCCCGCGUGUAUGAUGAAGGCCUUCGGGAUGUAAAUUACUUUUGGCAGAGAAGAAAAGGUAUCUCCUAAUCCGAGAUACUGCUGACGGUAUCUUCAGUAUAAGCACCGACUAACUACGUCCCAGCAGCCGCGGUAAUACGUAGGGGGUAAGCGUUAAUCGGAAUUACUGGGCGUAAAGCGUGUUCAGGCGGUUCGAAAAGAAAGAUGUGAAAUCCCAGGGCUCAACCUUGGAACUGCAUUUUUAACUGCCGAGCUAGAGUAUGUCAGAGGGGGGUAGAAUUCCACGUGUAGCAGUGAAAUGCGUAGAUAUGUGGAAGAAUACCGAUGGCGAAGGCAGCCCCCUGGGAUAAUACUGACGCUCAGACACGAAAGCGUGGGGAGCAAACAGG